Gallus gallus (chicken) is the source of this 2014-nucleotide long non-coding RNA. The record is from Ensembl. NCBI's taxonomy places the organism in Eukaryota, Metazoa, Chordata, Aves, Galliformes, Phasianidae.
CUUUUUGGUCCAGAAGCACUGCAGUGAAUGGAAGGGCCUCUCACAGUCAAACUCCAUGGCGCCAAAAUUAAAACCAGCGUUAAGGAUGAAACCGGCAAUAAGGAAAGCAUCACCAGAUUUCUUUACAUUACUUAUUGCAGGACGGAAUUAUUUGAGCAGUAAUGCUUCCAGGACCUUUUGAUUCACCGGACAGAGACCAAUCCAAAACGCAUAAUGCCAGGGAAAAUAUAGAGUUAUACUCUGAAGGAUUUGGAAAAGACUAUUUAGCAAUCACAGCAGCACUUUGGCACUUGUGCGAGAGCGUUGCACGCCUGUGCGAGCACAACCUCGCGUCUCUUCCGUUGGACUUGACUUUGUCUGUAUUUGCAUCCAGCUGUCUUCCUGCACGAUAACCAGAACACCGGAAAUUUGCUGAGGAUGACACACACAAUCAAUGAGGAGAUUUUAGUCAUUGCAUCAAAUUAGCAAAUUCUCAAUCCUGACUAAGAUACAGCUAGAAAACGAGCUGCCAGCAACACCCUCUGAAGCAGAUGGUUCCCACCACUUGGAAUGCUCCUUUCUGUGCACUUCAGCAGCUCCUGAAAUAACAGAGUGCUGCAGAACGGAGAAGGAAGAUGACUGGAAAGUGAGACUCUUUCUUGUGGUUUGAAUGGAGGCACAUAGAAAUGAAAUGACUAUCUAAAGUCACACCAGUCUCCUUCUUUAACCUGGUAAAUGGACUACAAAUGACUUCUAUUGGAAGAGGAAACACAAAGAUGAAGCUAUGGCACUCAGAUUCCUGCAUUCGGACACUUUGUAACACAAAUGCAUUCCUGACUGCAGAUUUGUUUUUCACCCCCACUCAUUGUACUUGGCUUGCAUCAUGCCUUCUUCCUAAGAAGUCCUCUGGAAGGCCUCAGCUCCCCAGCCCCACUCUAUGAUAAGUCGCCGAUUUUCCAUCCUGCCUUUCUCGUGCUUGAUUACAUCAUCCCCUUCCAGAGAAGUGAGUCCAGUGGACCAGAUCCAGAAUUCAUCGGAAGUGACAGGCGCCUGUCAAUGCCAACGCCCGUGGUCCUGGGCAGGGAGGAGGAAAACCAGGUCAUGUCGCCUUGGCGAGGAGGUGCUCGGGAUAAGGAUAACCCAUCUGCGAACACCAUGGGUUCACCCCUUUGAGGCUGGAAGCCCUGAGGGCACAGUGGGUGCCAGCACUGACAUCACCUUUGUCAUGCACCCUUCGCCCAUGAGGAUGCACCAGUGGUUUCAUAGGAACCCACUGCAUGCCCUGCUUUUCCCUGGGUGUUCCAAUACCCACUGCUAUAGCCUGGCAACGUUUGCAGCCAGCAACCCAUUUUUCCAACACACAGCUCUUGCUGCCUCUGAACUUAGCCCUGCAAAAAUAAAAAGUGGGUUUGGCAAUCUCUGAAUUAGACCUGGAUGCAUAAACAGAGGUAAUCCCUUUGUUCUCACUGACAACAGCUUAAGAAAUCCUCACGCAGAGCUCCACAGUGACACAAAACUUAUUUGCUACCACCGCUGAGGUUUAGAAGCAGAAUCCAUUUCAGGUGGACAUAAAAAUCCAGCCCAAUAUUUACUUGCCACUGGAUACAAACGUUUCCCAGUGAAGUCUGCACUAGUGUCAGAGAGGUGGAUAAAUCCUUCAACUUUGUUAAAUGUGGAAUAAAGGAGAGAAUAACUUGAAUUAAAUUCCUGUGCCCACUUGAAAUGAUGUCUGGCUGUGCCUCUGUACCUGUGCCUGAUUUUUGCAUGAAAAUAUUCUCUUUGUCCCUAUCUGGUGUUCUUCUUCAAAAAGGAAUUGAGUUAAAAAAGAAGGCAAUAAUGUAAGAUUUUUAAGCAAACAGUUCAAUAUUUCCUUUAAAAUGUUCUCUGUAUUCAAGAGCACUUUGAUUUCUAUCUUUUUUUUUUUCCUCCAGGCUUUGAAACUGUACCUCUUUUAAAAAAAGACCAUCCCUGAUUUUAGUCUUUUGUUCCUUUAUGAGCUUUGUCCCCGACUUUUAAAUGUGGAGAGAGUUGAGAG